AUUGAACGCUGGCGGCAUGCCUUACACAUGCAAGUCGAACGGCAGCACGGGUGCUUGCACCUGGUGGCGAGUGGCGAACGGGUGAGUAAUACAUCGGAACGUACCUUAUCGUGGGGGAUAACGCAGCGAAAGCUGUGCUAAUACCGCAUACGCCCUGAGGGGGAAAGCGGGGGAUCGAAAGACCUCGCGCGAUUAGAGCGGCCGAUGCCUGAUUAGCUUGUUGGUGGGGUAAAAGCCCACCAAGGCGACGAUCAAUAGCUGGUCUGAGAGGACGAUCAGCCACACUGGGACUGAGACACGGCCCAGACUCCUACGGGAGGCAGCAGUGGGGAAUUUUGGACAAUGGGGGAAACCCUGAUCCAGCAAUGCCGCGUGUGUGAAGAAGGUCUUCGGAUUGUAAAAGCACUUUAAGUUGGGAGGAAGGGCAGUAACCUAAUACGUUAAUUGUUUUGACGUUACCGACAGAAUAAGCACCGGCUAACUUCGUG
Molecule: ribosomal RNA, 488 nt
Filed under: uncultured bacterium
Lineage: Bacteria
Description: bacterial SSU rRNA
Rfam family: Bacterial small subunit ribosomal RNA
Source: RNAcentral